Molecule: ribosomal RNA, 165 nt
Filed under: Burkholderia multivorans
Lineage: Bacteria; Pseudomonadati; Pseudomonadota; Betaproteobacteria; Burkholderiales; Burkholderiaceae
Description: partial 23S ribosomal RNA
Rfam family: Bacterial large subunit ribosomal RNA
Source: RNAcentral
GACGUGGAAAUCUGCGAUAAGCCUCGGGGAGCCGAUAAACGGGCUGUGAUCCGAGGAUGUCCGAAUGGGGGAACCCCGCCGCAUGCGAGUGCGGUGACCCGCACCUGAAUAUAUAGGGUGUGUGGAGGGAACGCGGGGAAGUGAAGCAUCUCAGUACCCGUAGGA